RNAcentral lists this ribosomal RNA (586 nucleotides) under uncultured bacterium. RNAcentral describes it as "bacterial SSU rRNA". It matches the Rfam family "Bacterial small subunit ribosomal RNA", at positions 338 to 916 of the family's 1533-position model. The record is from RNAcentral.
CCUACGGGAGGCAGCAGUGGGGAAUAUUGGACAAUGGGCGCAAGCCUGAUCCAGCCAUACCGCGUGUGUGAAGAAGGCCUUCGGGUUGUAAAGCACUUUAAGUAAGGAAGAAAAGAGUAUUGUUAAUACCAAUACUCCGUGACAUUACUUACAGAAUAAGGACCGGCUAAUUCCGUGCCAGCAGCCGCGGUAAUACGGAAGGUCCAAGCGUUAAUCGGAAUUACUGGGCGUAAAGCGCGCGUAGGUGGUUUAUUAAGUUGGGUGUGAAAGCCCCGGGCUCAACCUGGGAACUGCAUCCAAAACUGAUUCACUAGAGUACGAAAGAGGAAAGUAGAAUUCACAGUGUAGCGGUGGAAUGCGUAGAUAUUGUGAAGAAUACCGAUGGCGAAGGCAGCUUUCUGGUUCUGUACUGACACUGAGGUGCGAAAGCGUGGGUAGCGAACAGGAUUAGAUACCCUGGUAGUCCACGCCGUAAACGAUGACAACUAGCUGUUGGGAAGCUAUGCUUUUCAGUGGCGCAGCUAACGUCUUAAGUUGUCCGCCUGGGGAGUACGGCCGCAAGGUUAAAACUCAAAUGAAUUGACGG